GGGAGGGGAAGUGGGGGGUUCUGUUGAGUAUUUAGUGCUUUUAAAAUCGGUUCCCUCUUGCGUGCCAACUUCCAGAGCAGCCGUCCUCCACACGCUGCUCUCCUGAGCCUCUGAUCAGCUGCUUUGCUAAUGUGGAGGUAAAAAGAAGUGUGGGGGUGCUCAGGACGGGGGGAGGGGCAGCCCGCGGGACUUCCUGUUUGUGUACGGACCUGCAGUGGGAUACUCUGGUGUAAUGGACACAGAGAUAACCUCACGGCAACAGGAAGAUUAAUCACCCAGUCCCCUGGUGAUGUGGCGGUAUAAUCAGGUGGGGAGGAGGCGAGGGAGGGAGGGAAAGGGGGAGAGAGCUGUGGGAUUUGUGCGUCUCUUAGCUGUGAAACAAUUAUGAUUGUUCUGGGAAGAUUGUCGUUGUUGGAGGAGAGCCUCCAAACACCACUGUUCCCUCGGUGCAGUGUACUGCAGCCCACUGCACACGUUGAUGGAACAUGGAUAUGUUGGGAUGCUGCCCAUAAGACCCUGGUGUUUGUCUGAAGUUCAGUGUGGAAGUAGGUGCCCCCUAUUUUUGGUGAAGUGGUAGAUACCAUGGUCAGUCGGACCACCUGUCACGGUUCAAAUCAUCAUUUCCACCAUCUGUGAUGAUGCACAGGCUGAACGAGGAAAAUCUGGAAAAAAAAAAAAACAAAUCUUCAUGACUGUACACUGCCCAGCCGAAAUCUGUGCCAACACACGAAUCCCACUUCACUGGGAAAAUAAAUAAAUAAAAAAAAAAAAGCAGUGCAGUGUUUGGUUUUUGAAGUGAUUAACACACUCCCUGUCAAGUGAUGCAGCAAGUAACUAUCUAUUCCCAUAACAACCAUGUACGAAAGCUUUUCAUGGUUUUGGAAAAAAGACUCUUGUUCUGUUAGUGGGUUUAAAGGAGGUCAACGCACUGACCUGCGUCCAGCAGAGUAAACAGCUGAAGAGGAAAUGAAACUUCUUAAAGAAAAAAGGACAUGGGAGGCUGUUGCCACUGAGACAGAGAUGGGGUUUUAAAAAAUGAACGAAAUGUGGCUCGCGGUCAAAUAAAGCUUCAACAAAACCAAUCAAGCAGAAAUCAACAGUAAAACUGGUGCAUUUUCACUGUUCAACCCCAGAGGUUCAGAAUAAAUAGCCGUUAAGUCGGCGGCUAAAAGUGCUUAUCACUAAAGCUGACGGGGAAAAAGGGAUAUUCACUUCAGAGAGAGUUUAGAGAUUUGAUUCUGCAGAAAUAGAAAAUAAUAUUUACACUGUUUACCAGCAAUAGUAGGAUCAGGACAGAGGAAUAGAGCUGUGUGAAUGGUUACCCAUACUGCCAUGGGCCUACUGCUAAAGCCUAAGGUGGAACUCUGAGCCACAUCUGAUCCAGACCAGGUUGGGAAACACUAUAAAUAUGAGGUCUGUUUCCUGUUCCUGCUGUGUGGGUUAAUCAUUGUGAUCACAAUCACCUGUGUCUCUGAUUAGUCUCACUGGUAUCACCUGGUACCCUGUGUAUAUAUACCUCUCCCUCACGCUGGCUUGGUGGGGUCAUUAUACUGUUCAGUUAGUUGGUUUCUGUGUGUGGUUGUAGUUCCUGCUUUGAGCUACUAGUUUGUACCUUGUAGUUCCUGCCUAGUCUAGUUUAUGCCUUGUUCCUGCAACCCAAUGAAUUUAGUUCCUGCCUGCUUCCUGCCCUGAUGACAUGUGACAGUAAAGCCUUAGUAAAGUUGCUGAUGAAAAGUUGCUUAGUAAAAGUCAGCAUGUUGGCCACAGGAUUUUGAACCUCAGUUUUGGACCUCAGUUCAGACCUCAUCUUACAGGAACUCUCAAAGCCCAAGAGGGUCAAAGAGAAUGCAUUAAUCAUGGACCUCAUUUGCAUAAAGGAACAACGUAGCUCACACCCCCACGCAUACAGAGAAACACAUGUUGGAAUAAGAUGGAGGAACUUACCAGAGUUCUUUGAGCCUCCGCUAAUCACUGAUUAAAGCGAUCAGAUGUCUGACUUGUAAAGCUGGGCCUUAAGGCGUUUCCUGUGAGUGAGUAACAGAGGAGACUGGGACGGUUUUAAGAAAAAAAAAGUCAUAUUUAAAUAAAACUGCAAAACCUGAGCAUUCAUCAUUAUUAACAUAAUUAUUUCACGCCGCAUGAUAAUUUUCUCUUUCACCACAGUCACUCACAUUAGGUUAUAAUAGCCAAUUAAAGCCAUUACUUUUUAAGUGAAUGAAAUGAAUCCGUCGGGACAGGGCAGCAGAUAACAGGAGAACGGAGUCGUCUUCACAUCCCUUUAAUUAACAUAUUGCCUUUUGAUUACAUCAUAACGUUGGUUCCUACUGUUCCUCAGGCACAGUGAGUCAAAUAUAGUUUCAUAUGUUAAAUCUUGGUAAUACACCUGAGCAAUUAGCCAAGAUGGUCUCAAGCUGAAGCCACCUAAUCCCUGCAGUUAAAUUAAGACAGAGGACAUUUUUGCAGAUUUUUUUUUUUUAUUUUCAGCCUUUAGGAAUGACAAGGACAAAUGUGUGUGUGUGUGUGUGUGAGUGUGAAGAAGAGAGUUUUUAAAUAUACAGUAUAUUAACCUUCAUGGUUAUAUGCAAUGAUCAAAAGGCUCUGGCUGGGAGGUUGAAUUUAAGGUUGGUGUGACCUUGAGUCACAUGGUACCAGUGUCACUAAAAUUCCUGAUGGUUCCAGAUUAUCCCAAAGCCGGCACCUGAAGUUGCAACCACUUAGAUUUUCAAUGACCCAUAACUGCUCCUUUUGGAUCACCUGUGAUCAGUGUUUCCCUGCAGUAGCCGCUGUAUUAACAUGUAAUAAUUCCCUUCCUUUGUUGUAAUGUUGAUGUGAUGCUUCAGUCCUCUAUUACCACGCCGGCUCACAAUUGCACUUCUAUAUGUGAGAGAUUCAGAGUAAAUGGUGCGUGGCGUGGUGAUUUUGAUACUCUGUGACAUCAUCACGACUGGUUGCUGUUCACUCGGCUGCAGAUAUAGGGUCGCUGCAAAUUUAACAUGUGUUGAUGGGAAAAAUGCUUGGUGGCUUUUAGAGCAAAAUGCAAAGGGUCUGUCACG
This is a long non-coding RNA of Cynoglossus semilaevis (tongue sole), 3053 nucleotides long. RefSeq lists it as uncharacterized. The transcript is spliced from 3 exons. The record is from RefSeq and is a predicted model, not a curated record. Lineage: Eukaryota; Metazoa; Chordata; Actinopteri; Pleuronectiformes; Cynoglossidae.